CCUACGGGAGGCUGCAGUAGGGAAUCUUCCACAAUGGGCGAAAGCCUGAUGGAGCAACGCCGCGUGGGUGAAGAAGGUCUUCGGAUCGUAAAACCCUGUUGUUAGAGAAGAAAGUGCGUGAGAGUAACUGUUCACGUUUCGACGGUAUCUAACCAGAAAGCCACGGCUAACUACGUGCCAGCAGCCGCGGUAAUACGUAGGUGGCAAGCGUUAUCCGGAUUUAUUGGGCGUAAAGGGAACGCAGGCGGUCUUGUAAGUCUGAUGUGAAAGCCUUCGGCUUAACCGGAGUAGUGCAUUGGAAACUGGGAGACUGGAGUGCAGAAGAGGAGAGUGGAAUUCCAUGUGUAGCGGUGAAAUGCGUAGAUAUAAGGAAGAACACCAGUGGCGAAAGCGGCUCUCUGGUCUGUAACUGACGCUGAGGUUCGAAAGCGUGGGUAGCAAACAGGAUUAGAUACCCUAGUAGUC
Molecule: ribosomal RNA, 465 nt
Filed under: uncultured bacterium
Lineage: Bacteria
Description: partial 16S ribosomal RNA
Rfam family: Bacterial small subunit ribosomal RNA
Source: RNAcentral